CCCUGUAAGCAACUGCUAGCCGUAGGGAAUGUGGCGGACUCCGAUGGCCACGGAGUGAAAAGCAGCCAGCAUUAACAUGUGGUCCCCUCCCAUCUCCCCUUAGCAGGGUGAGCGAGGGCGCCCUGUUAGCACGCCCAGCUGGAAACCACCUGGCACCGAACACAAAUCACCUUGAUCCUGCCACCUGAUCCGCCAACUCAGAGCCUAAGGGAUCAGGUGCCACAGUAUAGGCCAGCAAAGGCAGGGUGAGUUUAGUAUCACUCCUUUUUUACACUAUGAACUCUCGACUCGGUUUCGUAACAAGUACAUGUUUGUGUGAGUCUAACUCGGGUGUGUGUCGCUGGCUACUACAGCUAUCUGAUGGCUCAGGGCCUUAAGAGAAGUUAAGGCAUUGGUGACCUUAGGGCCCGUCUGCAAAUAUGUCCCAUCAAGGUCCAGCUCCUGCACGGUGCGGCGGUGGCUCUUCUCUGCCAGCAGCAGCUGCCCCAGCAUGCGACGGGGCUUCUGGUAGGGUUCCUGGUUCGGAGGGCCCUUGGACCCGGAGAUCAGGCCAUCCCUCUGCAGGGCCUGCAGGGCCGAGCCAGGCUCCGGGGAGCCGUAGUGGGACUCCAGUCCUUCGGGACGGGCCUGCUUGGACUUCAUGAUGCGGAUGAUGUCUUCACGGGCCUAAAAGCACAAGGCUCAUUGAUUAGAGCACAGAAGAUGUAGAGAUACGUUGAUAAGAUGAUGUAUAUAACACAACAGGGGGGUUAUGUUAUAUAUAGUGUACCUAAAGCUGUAUGAACACACAUAGAUGUGCUGCGUAAAUGUUAUGCAUCAAUAUUUAUCUAUAUAUUUAUAGAUCUUUAUGUAUUUAUUUAUAAGUAUGCAAUACUUGAAAUAAUACGUUUUGUAUAUGUCAUUACCGUUUUCAACCACAAGGUAGGGCUAUAGUGCAAUUAAAUUCGAGGCAAGGAAAAAACGAGUUUUUUCAUACACAGCAUAACAUCAUACCAACACACCAUACCAGAGGCCUUUUUAAUAUCAACGCUGCAGUUGUUAGCAGUAAGCCGUUAAUAGCAGCUUGAAGACGUACUGUGUAGAAAUGUUAACGGUUGAAAUGUUACUCUUUUUGGUAAGUCAUUCACCCGAAAGGUCCAAUAGCCUAGGGUCAAAUCCUAAAAAAGAAAUGUAAUAAAGAUAAUAUUGUGAAAUAAACUCCUAAUCUACCAGG
Molecule: long non-coding RNA, 1213 nt
Organism: Gadus morhua (Atlantic cod)
Lineage: Eukaryota; Metazoa; Chordata; Actinopteri; Gadiformes; Gadidae
Exons: 3
Source: RefSeq, a predicted model, not a curated record